GACGAACGCUGGCGGCGUGCUUAACACAUGCAAGUCGAACGGAAAGGCCCUGCUUUUGUGGGGUGCUCGAGUGGCGAACGGGUGAGUAACACGUGAGUAACCUGCCCUUGACUUUGGGAUAACUUCAGGAAACUGGGGCUAAUACCGGAUAGGAGCUCCUGCUGCAUGGUGGGGGUUGGAAAGUUUCGGCGGUUGGGGAUGGACUCGCGGCUUAUCAGCUUGUUGGUGGGGUAGUGGCUUACCAAGGCUUUGACGGGUAGCCGGCCUGAGAGGGUGACCGGCCACAUGGGGAAUGGGAACCGCCCCAGACCCCCAGGGGGGGCAACGGGGGGGAAUUUUGCACAAGGGGGGGAAGCCUGAUGCAGAAACGCCGGGGGGGGGAUGACGGCCUUGGGGUUGUAACCCCCUUUCGCCGGUGAAGAAGGGGGGGUGAGGGUAAUGGGUAAAGAAGCACCGGCAAACUACGU
This 467-nucleotide ribosomal RNA is filed under the name uncultured bacterium. Its description in RNAcentral is "partial 16S ribosomal RNA". It matches the Rfam family "Bacterial small subunit ribosomal RNA", at positions 28 to 506 of the family's 1533-position model. The record is from RNAcentral.